This 238-nucleotide unclassified non-coding RNA is filed under the name Hevea brasiliensis (rubber tree). The record is from RNAcentral. Lineage: Eukaryota; Viridiplantae; Streptophyta; Magnoliopsida; Malpighiales; Euphorbiaceae.
CAAAAAAUAUAUUCUCCUGCUCGCAAUAUAUAUUAUGUACAUUUUAGAAAGGGAGACGUACUAUUUUUUUCACUAUUAGCCGUUCAAUCCACAAGAACCUCCCAACACACUAGGCGCGCCUUCUAACAUACCAUCCUUUAGGCCUAACACGCCGCUUGCGAGGCACUUCAUCGAUCAACCGCCAGCCUCCAAAACUUAGCCAUGAGAGAGUUAAAAUCCUUCCAUCAUCAUCAUCAUC